RNAcentral lists this unclassified non-coding RNA (164 nucleotides) under Fusarium tricinctum. RNAcentral's name for it is "partial internal transcribed spacer 2". Lineage: Eukaryota; Fungi; Ascomycota; Sordariomycetes; Hypocreales; Nectriaceae. The record is from RNAcentral.
CAACCCUCAAGCCCCCGGGUUUGGUGUUGGGGAUCGGCUCUGCCUUCUGGCGGUGCCGCCCCCGAAAUACAUUGGCGGUCUCGCUGCAGCCUCCAUUGCGUAGUAGCUAACACCUCGCAACUGGAACGCGGCGCGGCCAUGCCGUAAAACCCCAACUUCUGAAC